CCAAGCUUGCUUGGUGGAUCAGUGGCGAACGGGUGAGUAACACGUGAGCAACCUGCCCUGGACUCUGGGAUAAGCGCUGGAAACGGCGUCUAAUACUGGAUAUGAGACGUGAUCGCAUGGUCGUGUUUGGAAAGAUUUUUCGGUCUGGGAUGGGCUCGCGGCCUAUCAGCUUGUUGGUGAGGUAAUGGCUCACCAAGGCGUCGACGGGUAGCCGGCCUGAGAGGGUGACCGGCCACACUGGGACUGAGACACGGCCCAGACUCCUACGGGAGGCAGCAGUGGGGAAUAUUGCACAAUGGGCGGAAGCCUGAUGCAGCAACGCCGCGUGAGGGAUGACGGCCUUCGGGUUGUAAACCUCUUUUAGCAGGGAAGAAGCGAAAGUGACGGUACCUGCAGAAAAAGCGCCGGCUAACUACGUGCCAGCAGCCGCGGUAAUACGUAGGGCGCAAGCGUUAUCCGGAAUUAUUGGGCGUAAAGAGCUCGUAGGCGGUUUGUCGCGUCUGCUGUGAAAUCCCGAGGCUCAACCUCGGGUCUGCAGUGGGUACGGGCAGACUAGAGUGCGGUAGGGGAGAUUGGAAUUCCUGGUGUAGCGGUGGAAUGCGCAGAUAUCAGGAGGAACACCGAUGGCGAAGGCAGAUCUCUGGGCCGUAACUGACGCUGAGGAGCGAAAGGGUGGGGAGCAAACAGGCUUAGAUACCCUGGUAGUCCACCCCGUAAACGUUGGGAACUAGUUGUGG
This 737-nucleotide ribosomal RNA is filed under the name Microbacterium aurantiacum. Its description in RNAcentral is "partial 16S ribosomal RNA". It matches the Rfam family "Bacterial small subunit ribosomal RNA", at positions 74 to 825 of the family's 1533-position model. The record is from RNAcentral. Lineage: Bacteria; Bacillati; Actinomycetota; Actinomycetes; Micrococcales; Microbacteriaceae.